UCAAAAAAAAAACGUUUUGCC
This 21-nucleotide non-coding RNA is filed under the name Caenorhabditis elegans. Lineage: Eukaryota; Metazoa; Nematoda; Chromadorea; Rhabditida; Rhabditidae. The record is from RNAcentral.